ACCUACUAAAUGCUGGUUAUCUUCCACAAACCUCCAAGAAUAGCAAUCAGAAAAGACCUUUUUUACCCAAAGCAUACAAUUAACGAGGUCUGAUCUGUAAACAAGACGGGGCAGCAGCUAGAGGCACAGACAAUGAUGAGCUAAAGGAUGAUGCUAUUUCAGUAAAGACACUAGGCCUACGGUCACCCAGUGUCCGCCGCUUGCCUCUGCAUCAGGCUCUGCAACGCACAGCAAAGUCGCGUGGGGGUCAUGGCAGGCACGGUCACGGUCAUGUGGGGCAAUUGCAGUAAGGAACGCGACACAGGAAAUGAAAAGGGAAGCCUGAAGAAAUGAAGUCGUGGCCAGUCACACAGGCAAGUUAAUGGACAGGACCAGCAAUUUGUAUCAAUUCAUUGUGUGAAAUUGCUCCUGAAAUACGUCCAUGGUCCUCACAAAUGCUGAAUGUGACGUCUCUUGGUGUUUCUGUUCUCGCCGUCAACAAAACGUGCACAAGCCGGUCCCCUCGUUAAUUCAGGGGCUGUCCCCGCAACGGCAGGAAGGAGUCUUGUGUUGAACCUAACUUCUGGUUUCCAGGGACCUGUCCCCAGAACAGUGACUUCGACAUCAGAGCCAAUGCAAUGGACGGCUCUCCUAAAAGCUAAUGCCCCCAGGGUCCUGCCCUCGGCUCACAGGUACCUCAGCUUCCGUGGCCUCCUUAGGGGAGCUCCCCAAAUUCAUGGCUUAACGGCCCAGAUCUGCAGACCCCAGGCCCAGCACCGGCAGCGGGGACCCACCGUCCCAGCAGAGAUGACCCCUCCCUCCCACAGGACGGGCCGAGCAGCCUGGCACCCGCCUUUCCCCCAUAUUCAACCAUACCCGCCACGUACAGCACCACGUCCCAGCGUCCGAGUUCUCACUGUCGCCCAGCACACCAGGCUCCCGGUGGGCUGUUCCUGUGGCUCUCCAGGGCUCCUCACGGGCACGGAGGACCUGUGCUCCCUGAAUUCACACGCUGAGAUCCUAGCCGCCCAGCUUAGCUCACCGAGCACCAUGUCUUCACAACUCCACGUGUGGC
This is a long non-coding RNA of Hyaena hyaena (striped hyena), 1054 nucleotides long. RefSeq lists it as uncharacterized. The record is from RefSeq and is a predicted model, not a curated record. The transcript is spliced from 3 exons. Lineage: Eukaryota; Metazoa; Chordata; Mammalia; Carnivora; Hyaenidae.